GCCAACCCACAUCUCCCUUAAACCUUUCUUUUAAUUUUCAAGUGCGCAGACGAAAACGUCGCUGCCGACCACCAGUCUGAACCGACCAAACCUGCUUGUUACGCCUGCGGUUCGUGUGUUGAACGGUACAAAAGACCGCUGAGCACCACUACCACGUUGAUCGGUCGUUCGUUCGUUGUACACUCGGAAGCGCAAUAUCUUCGAUCCAUCACCAUACCAUCGACUAGUGGUGAUCUAAAGAUCUGUGGCGAACCUACAUUGCACCACGCCGGUCGUCUUUUCUCUUCGACAUAAGGUAUCGGCACUAACCUGUUGGUAAAAACACUUUAUGAAAACGAAGCUGGUGAAUAAAAUAGUGACACUAUGAACAAACAAAUUUAUUUCACAUACAUAAACUUAGUUUCCUUCAAGUCGACAGAACUGGUGUAA
This 429-nucleotide long non-coding RNA is filed under the name Helianthus annuus (common sunflower). Its description in RNAcentral is "sRNA HanXRQr2_Chr12g0561571". The record is from RNAcentral. Lineage: Eukaryota; Viridiplantae; Streptophyta; Magnoliopsida; Asterales; Asteraceae.